AUGAGGUCCCAGAAGGAUUUUGUGCUGCUGGUAGUAACGUUAUGGGCUGUAUGGAAAGCAAGACAAAAGGCAAUAUCUGAAGGAGUUUUUCAGAGUCCACAAGCAACAUACCAGUUCAUUCAGUCCUACUUAGCAAACUUGAAAACUACCAAGGAACCAGUUACAGAGAGAGCAAGAACUCAUUUGGCCAGCCGAGCACAAUGGAUUCCUCCUCCUGAGAACUUUCAGAAAAUAAACGUUGAUGCUGCAGUUGCAAACAACCGGGGAAGAGGAGUUGCUGCUGCUAUCUGCCGAGAUCAUGAUGGCACUUUUCAGGGGGCAUCGGCUAUAUUUUUCAAGGGAAUAUGUGAUCCUCAAACUUUAGAAGCUCUGGCUGUACGGGAAGCUUUAGCUCUUGCUGACGAUCUCAAUCUUCGACGAGUACAUGUUGCGUGA
Molecule: ribosomal RNA, 435 nt
Filed under: Triticum aestivum (bread wheat)
Lineage: Eukaryota; Viridiplantae; Streptophyta; Magnoliopsida; Poales; Poaceae
Description: partial small subunit ribosomal RNA
Source: RNAcentral